Molecule: non-coding RNA, 695 nt
Organism: Oryzias latipes (Japanese medaka)
Lineage: Eukaryota; Metazoa; Chordata; Actinopteri; Beloniformes; Adrianichthyidae
Source: the annotation of a RefSeq genome assembly
UGCAGAUGCAGAGAUUGAGGGAGGAGCUGAGCUGUUGGUGAACUAUAGAAGAGACACAAACUUCCACUUUCAACACAGUUCAACACACAAAAGCCAAACAUCAGCUUCAUCCAACAUGCUGUCUGUGCAGACAUCUGUGUUCACUCUGCUGCUUCUAGUCAUUGGAACAGAUGUCAGCUGUGAAGAACUCACUGCAGUCAAGAAGGAAGAGUCCACUUUGGAAGGAACUUCUGUCACUCUGUCCUACAAAUAUAAAAAUGCUGCAACAGGAAGUGAUUAUUUCUUCUGGUAUCGACAGUUUCAAGGAAAACCUCCAGAGUUCUUGAUCUCUCACUUUGGAACAGGAACACCAAUUUCCCAGCCAGUUCCUGGAUUUUCCUUCAAAGUGAGUGACGAGCAAAGACAAAUGGAUCUGCAGAUCUCCUCUGCUGCAGUGACAGACUCUGCUGUGUACUACUGUGCUGUGCAGCCCACAGUGACAGGAAACAACAAAACUCUGUACAAAAACCUGCAGAGAAAACACAAAACUGCACAACAUCCACUAGAGGGCAUCGCACACUGAAUAGACAGAUGAAGCAGUAAAGAUCAGAGACAGUGCUUCUGUGGAAGAACUAAAUCUUUUAGGUAGUUGAUUGAUGGAGAGGAGGAUAAGUGUGGCUCCAGCCAAGAGAAAACAGCACUAUGUACAUGGAAGA